GACGAACCGUGCGAACGUUGUUCGGAAUUACUGGGCGUAAAGGGCGCGUAGGCGGCCAUCUAAGUCAGACGUGAAAUCCCCCGGCUCAACCUGGGAACUGCGUCUGAUACUGGGAGGCUAGAGUUUGGGAGAGGGAUGUAGAAUUCCAGGUGUAGCGGUGAAAUGCGUAGAUAUCUGGAGGAAUACCGGUGGCGAAGGCGGCGUCCUGGACCAAUACUGACGCUGAGGCGCGAAAGCUAGGGGAGCAAACGGG
Molecule: ribosomal RNA, 253 nt
Filed under: uncultured bacterium
Lineage: Bacteria
Description: partial 16S ribosomal RNA
Rfam family: Bacterial small subunit ribosomal RNA
Source: RNAcentral